Molecule: ribosomal RNA, 253 nt
Filed under: uncultured bacterium
Lineage: Bacteria
Description: partial 16S ribosomal RNA
Rfam family: Bacterial small subunit ribosomal RNA
Source: RNAcentral
UACGAAGGGUGCUAGCGUUGUUCGGAAUCACUGGGCGUAAAGCGCGCGUAGGCGGUUACUCAAGUCAGGGGUGAAAUCCUGAGGCUCAACCUCAGAAUUGCCUUUGAAACUGUGUGACUGGAGUGUCGGAGGGGAUAGCGGAAUUGCUAAUGUAGCGGUGAAAUGCGUAGAUAUUAGCAGGAACACCGGUGGCGAAGGCGGCUAUCUGGACGACAACUGACGCUGAGGCGCGAAGGCGUGGGGAGCGAACGGG